RNAcentral lists this ribosomal RNA (460 nucleotides) under uncultured bacterium. RNAcentral's name for it is "partial 16S ribosomal RNA". It matches the Rfam family "Bacterial small subunit ribosomal RNA", at positions 338 to 795 of the family's 1533-position model. The record is from RNAcentral.
CCUACGGGUGGCAGCAGUGAGGAAUAUUGGUCAAUGGGAGGAAUCCUGAACCAGCCAUGCCGCGUGCAGGACGACGGCUCUACGAGUUGUAAACUGCUUUUGUACCGGGGUAAAAUGCUCUACGAGUAGGGUUUUGAAAGUACGGUACGAAUAAGGAUCGGCUAACUCCGUGCCAGCAGCCGCGGUAAUACGGAGGAUCCGAGCGUUAUCCGGAUUUAUUGGGUUUAAAGGGAGCGUAGGCCGCAUGUCAAGCGUGCUGUGAAAUGUCCGGGCUCAACCCGGGCCUUGCAGCGCGAACUGGCGUGCUUGAGUCCGCGGAAAGCAGGCGGAAUUCGUCGUGUAGCGGUGAAAUGCUUAGAUAUGACGAAGAACCCCGAUUGCGAAGGCAGCUUGCUGCAGCGGAACUGACGCUGAUGCUCGAAAGCGCGGGUAUCGAACAGGAUUAGAUACCCGAGUAGUC